UUUGAUGACGACCGGCGCACGGGUGCGGAACGCGUAUGGAACCUGCCCCUGUCAGGGGAAUAGCCCAGGGAAACUUGGAUUAAUGCCCCAUGGUAUCGUUAUAUCGCAUGAUAUUACGAUUAAAGAUUUAUCGGACAGGGAUGGCCAUGCGUACCAUUAGUUAGUUGGUGAGGUAACGGCUUACCAAGGCAGCGAUGGUUAGGGGCCCUGAGAGGGGGAUCCCCCACACUGGUACUGAGACACGGACCAGACUCCUACGGGAGGCAGCAGUGAGGAAUAUUGGACAAUGGGCGGGAGCCUGAUCCAGCCAUGCCGCGUGCAGGAUGACGGCCCUAUGGGUUGUAAACUGCUUUUAUACGGGAAGAAACGCACCUACGUGUAGGUGUCUGACGGUACCGUAAGAAUAAGGACCGGCUAACUCCGUGCCAGCAGCCGCGGUAAUACGGAGGGUCCGAGCGUUAUCCGGAAUCAUUGGGUUUAAAGGGUCCGUAGGCGGGCCUGUAAGUCAGGGGUGAAAGUUUGUGGCUCAACCAUAAAAUUGCCUUUGAUACUGCAGGUCUUGAGUCAUGGUGGGGUUGCCGGAACAUGUGGUGUAGCGGUGAAAUGCAUAGAUAUCACAUAGAACACCGAUCGCGAAGGCAGGUGACCAACCAUGUACUGACGCUGAUGGACGAAAGCGUGGGUAGCGAACGGGAUUAGAUACCCCGGUAGUCCACGCCGUAAACGAUGGAUACUAGCUGUGGGGACUUCG
Molecule: ribosomal RNA, 751 nt
Filed under: Flagellimonas lutimaris
Lineage: Bacteria; Pseudomonadati; Bacteroidota; Flavobacteriia; Flavobacteriales; Flavobacteriaceae
Description: bacterial SSU rRNA
Rfam family: Bacterial small subunit ribosomal RNA
Source: RNAcentral